This 781-nucleotide non-coding RNA is filed under the name Coptotettix longtanensis. The record is from RNAcentral. Lineage: Eukaryota; Metazoa; Arthropoda; Insecta; Orthoptera; Tetrigidae.
AUCUGGUUUGUAUCCUUAUUUUUAUUUCUUUUUCUUUAUUUUUAAUAAGUUUUAUUCUUGCUUUAUAUUAGUUUAUUUGAAUGUUUUAAAUACGUACUUUUAGUUAGAUGUUUUAUUUUGUAUUAUUUGUAUUUGAAUAUUAAGUCAUUUUUGAUUCAGUAAUUCAUGAAGGGGGGUCAAAUGUCGUGCCAGCAGCCGCGGUUAUACGUCUAUCCCCUUGACUAAUUUUUUUGGUAGUAGUUAGAUUUUAUUAUAUAUACAUAUAUUAAUGUUUGGUGGAAUAUUAUUAAUUUAUUUUAUAUUUUUUUUCUUUUUUACUAUUUAGACUAUUUUUUAAACUAGGAUUAGAUACCCUAUUAUUUUAGAUUAAUUUUAUUGCCAGGGUAGUAUUUUUAUUUAAUUGAAACCUAAAGAAUUUGGCGGCAUUUUAUCUUUUUAGAGGAACCUGUUUCUUGAAUGAUGUUACACGAUUAGCACGACUUAUUAUAAUUGUUUGUAUAUUUCCGUUAUCAGAAUAUUUAUAGAUAAUAUUUUCAUUAUUUUUUAUAAAAAUUUAUUUCAGGUCAAGGUGCAGCUUAUUGUUAAGUGUUAAAUGGGUUACAAUAAUUUAAUUUAUAUGGAUAUAUUUUUUAAAUUUUUUAUUGAAGGUGGAUUUAUUAGUAAGAUUUAAUAAUUAUUAAGUUUGAAUUAGUACUAAAUUGUGUACAUAUCGCCCGUCGCUCUCAGAUAUUUGAGAUAAGUCGUAACAAAGUAGAUUUACUGGAAAGUGAAUCUGGAUUAU